This 253-nucleotide ribosomal RNA is filed under the name uncultured bacterium. RNAcentral's name for it is "partial 16S ribosomal RNA". It matches the Rfam family "Bacterial small subunit ribosomal RNA", at positions 524 to 776 of the family's 1533-position model. The record is from RNAcentral.
UACAGAGGGUGCAAGCGUUAAUCGGAAUUACUGGGCGUAAAGCGCGCGUAGGUGGUUCGUUAAGUUGGAUGUGGAAUCCCCGGGCUCAACCUGGGAACUGCAUUCAAAACUGUCGAGCUAGAGUAUGGUAGAGGGUGGUGGAAUUUCCUGUGUAGCGGUGAAAUGCGUAGAUAUAGGAAGGAACACCAGUGGCGAAGGCGACCACCUGGACUGAUACUGACACUGAGGUGCGAAAGCGUGGGGAGCAAACAGG